UGCAGUUGAUACUGGAUAUCUUGAGUGCAGUUGAGGCAGGCGGAAUUCGUGGUGUAGCGGUGAAAUGCUUAGAUAUCACGAAGAACUCCGAUUGCGAAGGCAGCCUGCUAAGCUGCAACUGACAUUGAGGCUCGAAAGUGUGGGUAUCAAACAGGAUUAGAUACCCUGGUAGUCCACACGGUAAACGAUGAAUACUCGCUGUUUGCGAUAUACGGCAAGCGGCCAAGCGAAAGCGUUAAGUAUUCCACCUGGGGAGUACGCCGGCAACGGUGAAACUCAAAGGAAUUGACGGGGGCCCGCACAAGCGGAGGAACAUGUGGUUUAAUUCGAUGAUACGCGAGGAACCUUACCCGGGCUUAAAUUGCAGAUGAAUUACGGUGAAAGCCGUAAGCCGCAAGGCAUCUGUGAAGGUGCUGCAUGGUUGUCGUCAGCUCGUGCCGUGAGGUGUCGGCUUAAGUGCCAUAACGAGCGCAACCCUUGUUGUCAGUUACUAACAGGUUCCGCUGAGGACUCUGACAAGACUGCCAUCGUAAGAUGUGAGGAAGGUGGGGAUGACGUCAAAUCAGCACGGCCCUUACGUCCGGGGCUACACACGUGUUACAAUGGGGGGUACAGAGGGCCGCUACCACGCGAGUGGAUGCCAAUCCCAAAAACCUCUCUCAGUUCGGACUGGAGUCUGCAACCCGACUCCACGAAGCUGGAUUCGCUAGUAAUCGCGCAUCAGCCACGGCGCGGUGAAUACGUUCCCGGGCCUUGUACACACCGCCCGUCAAGCCAUGGGAGCCGGGGGUACCUGAAGUGCGUAACCGCGAGGAGCGCCCUAGGGUAAAACUG
RNAcentral lists this ribosomal RNA (834 nucleotides) under uncultured organism. RNAcentral describes it as "SSU rRNA". It matches the Rfam family "Bacterial small subunit ribosomal RNA", at positions 622 to 1470 of the family's 1533-position model. The record is from RNAcentral.